GGUCAAGCGAAUAAGCGCACACGGUGGAUGCCUUGGCGGUCAGAGGCGAUGAAGGACGUGGCAGCCUGCGAAAAGUAUCGGGGAGCUGGCAACAAGCUUUGAUCCGGUAAUGUCCGAAUGGGGAAACCCACCCGCUUGCGGGUAUCCUGCAGUGAAUACAUAGCUGCUGGAAGCGAACCUGGUGAACUGAAAUAUCUAAGUAACCAGAGGAAAAGAAAUCAACCGAGAUUCCGUAAGUAGCGACGAGCGAACGCGGACUAGCCCUUAAGCUGGAUUGGUUCUAGGAAAACGCUCUGGAAAGAGCGGCCAUAGAAGGUGAUAGCCCUGUAUCUGAAAGGGCCAUUCCAGUGAAGACGAGUAGGGCGGGGCACGUGAAACCCUGUCUGAAUAUGGGGGGACCAUCCUCCAAGGCUAAAUACUACUGACCGACCGAUAGUGAACCAGUACCGUGAGGGAAAGGCGAAAAGAACCCCGGAGAGGGGAGUGAAAUAGAACCUGAAACCGUGUGCGUACAAGCAGUAGGAGCUCCGCAAGGAGUGACUGCGUACCUUUUGUAUAAUGGGUCAGCGACUUACUGUUCGUGGCAAGCUUAACCGUAUAGGGGAGGCGAAGGGAAACCGAGUCUGAUAAGGGCGCAUAGUCGCGGGCAGUAGACCCGAAACCGGGUGAUCUAGUCAUGCCCAGGGUGAAGGUGCGGUAACACGCACUGGAGGCCCGAACCCACUCCCGUUGCAAAGGUAGGGGAUGAGGUGUGAUUAGGAGUGAAAAGCUAAUCGAACCCGGAGAUAGCUGGUUCUCCUCGAAAGCUAUUUAGGUAGCGCCUCAUAUGUAUCCUCUCGGGGGUAGAGCACUGUUAUGGCUAGGGGGUCAUCGCGACUUACCAAACCAUUGCAAACUCCGAAUACCGAGACGGACUGUAUGGGAGACACACGGCGGGUGCUAACGUCCGUCGUGAAAAGGGAAACAACCCAGACCCACAGCUAAGGUCCCAAAUUUUGUGCUAAGUGGAAAACCAUGUGGAAAGGCACAGACAGCCAGGAGGUUGGCUUAGAAGCAGCCACCCUUUAAAGAAAGCGUAAUAGCUCACUGGUCGAGUCGGUCUGCGGGGAAGAUUUAACGGGGCUAAGCACAGAACCGAAGCUUGGGGUGCAUACUUUGUAUGCGCGGUAGAGGAGCGUUCCGUAAGCCGUUGAAGGUGGAUUGAGAAGUCUGCUGGAGGUAUCGGAAGUGCGAAUGCUGACAUGAGUAACGAUAAUGCGGGUGAAAAACCCGCACGCCGAAAGCCCAAGGUUUCCUUGCGCAACGUUAAUCGGCGCAGGGUGAGUCGGCCCCUAAGGCGAGGACGAAAGUCGUAGUCGAUGGGAAGCAGGUUAAUAUUCCUGCACCUCGCGUAAGUGCGAUGGAGGGACGGAGAAGGUUAGGUGUACCAGGCGUUGGUUGUCCUGGGGAAAGGCGGUAGGUUUGGAUCUUUGGCAAAUCCGGGAUCCUCUAAGACCGAGCACCGAGACGAGCCUUUAUGGCGAAGUCACUGAUACCACGCUUCCAGGAAAAGCUCCUAAGCUUCAGCUUACGCAGACCGUACCGUAAACCGACACAGGUGGGUAGGAUGAGAAUUCUCAGGCGCUUGAGAGAACUCGGGUGAAGGAACUAGGCAACAUGGCACCGUAACUUCGGGAGAAGGUGCACCCUUUUUGGUGGCUCGUGCGAGCUAUAGCUGAAGAGGGUCGCAGUAACCAGGCCGCUGCGACUGUUUAUCAAAAACACAGCACUCUGCAAACACGAAAGUGGACGUAUAGGGUGUGACGCCUGCCCGGUGCUGGAAGGUUAAUUGAUGGGGUCAGCCGCAAGGCGAAGCUCUUGAUCGAAGCCCCAGUAAACGGCGGCCGUAACUAUAACGGUCCUAAGGUAGCGAAAUUCCUUGUCGGGUAAGUUCCGACCUGCACGAAUGGCGUAACGACAGCGGCGCUGUCUCCACCCGAGACUCAGUGAAAUUGAAAUCGCUGUGAAGAUGCAGCGUUCCCGUGGCAAGACGGAAAGACCCCGUGAACCUUUACUAUAGCUUUACACUGAACGUUGAGUUCGUCUGUGUAGGAUAGGUGGGAGGCUAUGAAACUGUGGCGCCAGCUGCAGUGGAGCCAUCCUUGAAAUACCACCCUGUCGUGCUUGACGUUCUAACCUAGGCCCAUUAUCUGGGUCGGGGACCGUGUAUGGUGGGUAGUUUGACUGGGGCGGUCUCCUCCUAAAGAGUAACGGAGGAGCUCGAAGGUACGCUCAGCGCGGUCGGACAUCGCGCACUGUGUGCAAAGGCAUAAGCGUGCUUGACUGCAAGAUCGACGGAUCAAGCAGGUAGGAAACUAGGACUUAGUGAUCCGGUGGUUCUGUAUGGAAGGGCCAUCGCUCAACGGAUAAAAGGUACUCCGGGGAUAACAGGCUGAUACCGCCCAAGAGUUCAUAUCGACGGCGGUGUUUGGCACCUCGAUGUCGGCUCAUCACAUCCUGGGGCUGUAGUCGGUCCCAAGGGUAUGGCUGUUCGCCAUUUAAAGUGGUACGCGAGCUGGGUUCAGAACGUCGUGAGACAGUUCGGUCCCUAUCUGCCAUGGGCGUUGGAGAUUUGAGAGGGGCUGCUCCUAGUACGAGAGGACCGGAGUGGACGAACCUCUGGUGUUCCGGUUGUCACGCCAGUGGCAUUGCCGGGUAGCUAUGUUCGGAAGCGAUAACCGCUGAAAGCAUCUAAGCGGGAAGCGCGCCUCAAGAUGAGAUCUCCCGGGGCACAAGCCCCCUGAAGGAACCAUGUAGACUACGUGGUUGAUAGGUCAGGUGUGUAAGUACAGCAAUGUAUUGAGCUAACUGAUACUAAUGAUCCGUGCGGCUUGACCAU
RNAcentral lists this ribosomal RNA (2878 nucleotides) under Stenotrophomonas maltophilia. RNAcentral's name for it is "23S ribosomal RNA". It matches the Rfam family "Bacterial large subunit ribosomal RNA". RNAcentral also lists the same sequence under 1 other name. Lineage: Bacteria; Pseudomonadati; Pseudomonadota; Gammaproteobacteria; Lysobacterales; Lysobacteraceae. The record is from RNAcentral.